Molecule: long non-coding RNA, 1243 nt
Organism: Mandrillus leucophaeus (drill)
Lineage: Eukaryota; Metazoa; Chordata; Mammalia; Primates; Cercopithecidae
Exons: 3
Source: RefSeq, a predicted model, not a curated record
GGGAGUGGCAAAUCAAAGGCAUUGCAGCCUCUUUCAUCACUGCCGAUUGCUGAUGCCGACCAUGUGCCAAGUGCUUAAUACAUCACCUUAAAUCUUCUCAUCCACCCUCAAAGUAGCAGUCGCAUCAACCCAGUGUCCUGACUUUCAACACAACCAUGAAAACGCCCCAACUGCUGCUAAAUUACCAGCAACAAGGAUCUGACAUUCUUACAAAAAAGAAAGAACACCAAAAUUGACCUUACCCUGACAAUAUGAUGGCUGAAGGAUUUAUGAUCACUUGUAACAUUUGAAAUUGAGGCAGAAUCUCAAGAAUACGACUCUGGUGAAAGGUCCUAUUUAUGCUUUUGAUGUCUUUCAGUUGGACGUUUACCAUAUGCCUAUUGGUAGGUUUUUUACACCAGGACAGUGAAGGUGAUACAGGAAUAAAUAAAACACUAUCCCUAUCCUUUAAUAUCAUUUAUUUAUGGGGUCAAUCAUAGCUUUUCAUUUUUCAUAAUCUUUGAUAAAUGUCAGAAUUAUGUUUUUUAACAUUUUUACAGAAUUAUUACUAUAUAUGAUAGAGGAUGGAAGGCAAGGUAGUAUGAAAUGGAAGAUAUUUUGAAUUAAGAUAUUUGGACCUGGGUUCAUAUUUUUGCUAUGGUCUUUAUUAACUGAGUGACCUUGGGAAAGUUCUUCUACUAAAAAAGAAUAAAGAUACUAAUUGCUUCAUGAAAUUGCUGUGAAAAGCACAUAACAAGUAUAUCCACACUCAACAAUGUAUGCUCAGAAAUGAAGAUCCCUUUUCUCAUACCUGCAAAUAAAGUCUUACAGUAAUACAGUGGGGGUAAAGGUUUAAAUUGGGGGAUUCAAGAAGGUUAUAGAAAGAGGUAGCAUUUUCAUGGGGGAAGGAUAGAGUCCAAGAAAUCAGAUCCAUUUUCUACAAAAAGAAAUAGGAAGACAGAUAAUUCAAGAAGAAAAGUUUACAUGAUUGAAGACCUGAAGUUAGAAAUAGUGAUGUGUCUCAAUAGGAAGUUAGGAAUUGGGGUGGACACAGUUGUUGGAAGAAGGAUGGUUUCAGCAAAAGCCCAAGAGUUAGGUGACAAUUUCAAGGGUUUGUGAAGAUGUAUGAAAAAAACAUUAUAAAGUAGUUAGGAUAUAAGAAAUAGAGAGGAGGGAAUGAAUUAGCAUUUAUUGAGUGUCUUGCAUGUUCCAAGCACUGUACUACUUGCCUUAUAAACCUUUUUUCAAUAAACGCCUACAACAA